UUGUUUCUCUGUGUCACUAAUUUGUCUUUCACACCUUCUUGUAUAACUCAGCUGAAUGAAACAAGUUCACGUCAGUCCUCUCAGGGCAGCUAAGGCCCUCAUAGUAAAUCUGUAAGAAGUAGUUGAGGCAAGUUGAGGGAGGUGUGUGGACUAAAAAUAACUCCUGUAAUUCAUUAAUUGUGCAGAUAAUUAAUAGACACAAUUAUAUUUUAAUAUAUUGCACAGGAACAUUUCCAGCAUACAGAACACAUUAUACAGUGAAAGCUUCCCGACAUGCUACAACCUAAUUGUGACACCCCACAGGCUGAACGAGGCUCCCAAAUUCAUCACCCUGCUUCUAAUGAAACCUGCAGCGAAGUCACACACAGCUGCCGAGGAGGACGGCGACGAACUCGCUCACACCAGUGGGAGAUAACCAAGGACACUCCGCAGUGAUAGAGAAGAGAGACUGUGGAUCUGUAGGUCUGUAGGUAACAUCUGCAGAUACUGUCAGCCUGCAUACAUGCUUCCUAAACCAGAAUGUCAUGGCAGAUUCUACUGUCUGUGGUGCAAGAGGUAAAACUAAAAAAAAAAGUCCAUUAAACACUUCAUGCUUUGAUCAGCUACUCUCUCUUGUCUGGAUUUUGGCAGCUUGACAAUUAAAAGACACUUUAUAGUGAAUUUUUAUUGAGUAAAUCAGCAGAAGUAGGUGAAUAAAAAAAAAAGGAUUAUGCAAAAGGAGGAGAGUAUGUUCACUCAUCCUUCAAGGGAAUUACCCCCUUGACUGUAGAGUCUUGAUAUACAAAAAAAAAAAAAAAAAAAGAUAAACAGCAUUGGCAAUGCAUGAGCAACAGGAAAUGAUUAGGCAAAUGCUGCAGGACUUAAAUAAAUGAUAUAAUAACAAAUGCAGCUUGUUAAAGUGCGUUUCAAGGAGUUGUCAGUUAUGUUUGCACACUGAAGUGAAACUGCCUGCGCCCAUGCGAGCGUGACAUGCUACACUGGGUGUGUCUACCUCUGCUGACUGAGACUUUACUUUCCUAUUCAAAUCACACACAUCGGAGAUAA
Long non-coding RNA from Seriola aureovittata, 1044 nucleotides. RefSeq lists it as uncharacterized. The transcript is spliced from 3 exons. NCBI's taxonomy places the organism in Eukaryota, Metazoa, Chordata, Actinopteri, Carangiformes, Carangidae. The record is from RefSeq and is a predicted model, not a curated record.